GAUGAACGCUGGCGGCGUGCUUAACACAUGCAAGUCGAACGAAGCACUUUAUUUGAUUUCCUUCGGGACUGAUUAUUUUGUGACUGAGUGGCGGACGGGUGAGUAACGCGUGGGUAACCUGCCUUGUACAGGGGGAUAACAGUUGGAAACGGCUGCUAAUACCGCAUAAGCGCACAGCAUCGCAUGAUGCAGUGUGAAAAACUCCGGUGGUAUAAGAUGGACCCGCGUUGGAUUAGCUAGUUGGUGAGGUAACGGCCCACCAAGGCGACGAUCCAUAGCCGACCUGAGAGGGUGACCGGCCACAUUGGGACUGAGACACGGCCCAAACUCCUACGUGAGGCAGCAGUGGGGAAUAUUGCACAAUGGGCGAAAGCCUGAUGCAGCGACGCCGCGUGAGCGAAGAAGUAUUUCGGUAUGUAAAGCUCUAUCAGCAGGGAAGAUAAUGACGGUACCUGACGAAGAAGCACCGGCUAAAUACGUG
RNAcentral lists this ribosomal RNA (481 nucleotides) under uncultured bacterium. RNAcentral's name for it is "partial 16S ribosomal RNA". It matches the Rfam family "Bacterial small subunit ribosomal RNA", at positions 28 to 507 of the family's 1533-position model. The record is from RNAcentral.